This 375-nucleotide unclassified non-coding RNA is filed under the name Hevea brasiliensis (rubber tree). The record is from RNAcentral. Lineage: Eukaryota; Viridiplantae; Streptophyta; Magnoliopsida; Malpighiales; Euphorbiaceae.
GUUUAGCCAAGACUAGAAAUGUAUCAAUCAUUGCCAAUCCCAAACUCCAUGGUGUUACCAAACCCAUGGUUGUCACCAAAAAGCAGAAGGGAGCGUAGCUGUAGCUUAAGAAAGAAACACCAAAACACAUGAAAAGAAGUGAACUGACAGAGAAAAUAGCCUGUCCUAAUCGCAAAGCUAAACCAGCACUCGUCCCCAUAGCCCCCGGCUGUUUAUCCAUUUCAUCAGUAGCACGCCACAGAGCGAUUUACCUUGUUGUGUUUGUCAGAAUUCUGCAACUCAAUCAAUAAUGUGCAGUUUUUUUUUUGUUUUGAAACGGAGUGAAUGGAAUGCGAAAAGGAAUUUUGGGGAAAAUAAUAGUGAUGGGGAUGUUGU